GUCUACAGCCAUACCACCCUGAACACACCCAAUCUCGUCUAAUCUGGGAAGCUAAGAAGUAAGAAGUUGCAGUAGACC
RNAcentral lists this ribosomal RNA (78 nucleotides) under Microcebus murinus (gray mouse lemur). Lineage: Eukaryota; Metazoa; Chordata; Mammalia; Primates; Cheirogaleidae. The record is from RNAcentral.